RNAcentral lists this ribosomal RNA (455 nucleotides) under uncultured bacterium. RNAcentral's name for it is "bacterial SSU rRNA". It matches the Rfam family "Bacterial small subunit ribosomal RNA", at positions 917 to 1382 of the family's 1533-position model. The record is from RNAcentral.
GUGCCCGCACAAGCAGCGGAGCGUGUGGUUUAAUUCGAUGCAACACGAAGAACCUUACCAGGGUUUGACAUGUAUGAAGUAGUGAACCGAAAGGGGAACGACCUGUUAAGUCAGGAGCUUACACAGGUGCUGCAUGGCUGUCGUCAGCUCGUGCCGUGAGGUGUCGGGUUAAGUCCCAUAACGAGCGCAACCCCUGUUGCCAGUUGUUUUCUCUGGCGAGACUGCCCCGCACAACGGGGAGGAAGGCGGGGAUGACGUCAAGUCAGUAUGGCCUUUAUGCCCUGGGCUACACACACGCUACAAUGGACGGUACAAUGGGUUGCAAUGGAGCGAUUCGGAGCUAAUCCUUUAAAACCGCCCUCAGUUCGGAUUGUAGGCUGAAAUUCGCCUGCAUGAAGUUGGAGUUGCUAGUAACCGUGCAUCAGCUUGGCACGGUGAAUACGUUCUCGGGCAUU